RNAcentral lists this ribosomal RNA (164 nucleotides) under uncultured bacterium. Its description in RNAcentral is "partial 16S rRNA". It matches the Rfam family "Bacterial small subunit ribosomal RNA", at positions 355 to 511 of the family's 1533-position model. The record is from RNAcentral.
UAGGGAAUCUUCCACAAUGGACGCAAGUCUGAUGGAGCAACGCCGCGUGAGUGAAGAAGGUCUUCGGAUCGUAAAGCUCUGUUGUUGGUGAAGAAGGAUAGAGGCAGUAACUGGUCUUUAUUUGACGGUAAUCAACCAGAAAGUCACGGCUAACUACGUGCCCG